GGGUGUUCCUGAUGCAGUUGGGUGUGGGGUGCAGGGUGUCUGGAAGCUCGCCUUGGCCUGCUCGUGGGCAGGGCCAGACCUGCAUUAGGGGGUGGUCAUUGUUUUCCUGCUUCUGUUUCUUCUCCCUGGUGGGCGAGGCUGGUCUAGAGGCGAGUGCAGGCUUCCUGGCAAGAGGGCCCGUGUCUGCCCACUGGUGGGUGGAGCUGGCCUUGGUCCUCAGGUGGGCUGGGCCAUGUUCAGAGACAGCUGUGGGCUCUUUAGUCUUUAGGCAGCCUGUCUGCUGAUAGGCGGGGCUGUGUCCCCGCCCAGUUAGUUGUUGGCCUAAGGCUUCCCAUUACUGGUGCCUGCAGGCUGAUGGCGGGUGCUAGGUUUUGGGGCUGAAGAAGCAAACUACCAGCCCACAUAGCAGCAGUGUUCCUGGGGCUGAAUGUUCCCCAGCUUGUGUUGACGUUCCCAGGCUGAGCCGCAGCCACACCCUGCUUCUCCAGGAGACUCUCCAAGAGCAGCAGCUAACCAGAUAAUGCUAAUGGCAUGAAGGCAGCCUGUGCCUGGUUCCCUGUGGUAUAUUCACCUGCCCAUCGCUAACAACCACUGCGAUUUGGGGCUCUAUUCCUGCCUUUCCAGCACGCACUCACCCAAGUAUCUACUGAGCAUCUGCAAUGUGGAGAUAAUUGUGCUGGGCCCCGGGAUGACCGAGAAAGACAAGGCUCCUGCACUAGUGGAGAGGAGGCAAUAAACAAACCACGAUACGUUCAGAGAGCGAACUGAGGGCUGGAGGAGCAACAGAACGGGAAAUGAGUGCCGGCGAGGGCAGGGCUGCUGGAGAGGUAAGCGUGACACCCGGACAAUCAGAAGGAUGCGCCUGGAGAAGGAAGAGGGAACAGCCCUCGGUAAGAAGAAACCAGCGUGGGCAGCACACGACACCCACCAUGUACAGACGCUGUGGUCUGACUGUUCAGCAAGCACCUCCUGAGUGAAAUGUGCGCCAGGGCUUCCACGCAGCGUCACACUUUUUCUCUCGCGUUCAGAGGUAGCCACCGGCCACUAAUCUUGACGCAGAAUAGCUCAGUGAUAAAGUGAAUGCACGAAUAGGAGGCGUGGAUGUGUCCAAGGAAAAUCAGGAGGCUCAGAAAGAAGGGAACCUGGGAUCACCUGGAACUCGCUCACCUGGGCAGAUCCUAGUCUCUGGGCUUCAGGGGCCUCGUCUAAGCGGACUGAGGUGCAUUUAUGCUGCCUGGAGCACAGAAGACCCACCCAGACCAUCAUCCAGCAUGUCGAGGAUAAGAUCUAAUGUUCAUUUUAAACGGCUUGGAGGAGAAGGAGAGAGAAGUGCCAAGAACAGACUGUUAUGGCAGGUGACUUACUGCUGUGCUUGGUGGCGGAGGGUACGUGUACCUGAUUGAUCACGGAGUCUAGGGGUGACCUGGGACACUGGUCUGGGUCAGUCCCUCAUGGAGCUUGACAGAUUGAGCUGGAAGGUCUGGCCACCUCCCCUGCUUCCCCCCAGCCCUGCUUACUUGGUCAAGUUCAUUUACUCCCCUUUUCUUCAGCCUCAGCAGCUACGCUCUGACCCAGUAUGUCCCCAUUAGGCCUGGCAUCCUCUCUGUCCUGGUCCCAUGAAUGUGCUGAUGCUCCAACCAGGGGGUGGGGGUGGGGUGGGGAAGGGGGUCCUUCUCUUCCCACGAGCCUCCUACUGUCAGUCCACUCAGCCUCCCUCCCUCUCCCUUUCUCUGCCCUAGCUGGGAUCGGGGCUCCUCCCGUGGGUUCUCACAGCAUCUCUCUAUUAUCAGAAUGGGUUUCCUGCCUGUGGCCCCAAGACUCCUGCACCCUGGUGUAUCUGCCCUGUAUCGUCUCUCCCUUGUGGUAUGAGCAGAACCUGGAAUACGACGGGAUCUUACUCCCAUGAUUACAGGACAGAAUAGACUGGGUCUGCAGAAGUAAGCUGCUCCACACAGCUCAGACCUGAGGGUGGCCUCUGUGAGCUCAGAAGGACCCCGGCCAACAGCCAGCAAGGAAACAUGGACCUCGGUCCUAGAGCUGAAUUUGGCCAAAACCUGAAUGUGCUGGAAGUGCACCCCGACUCCCAGAUGCCAUCACAGCCCAGCUGACACCCGGAUUCCAGGCUUGAGACCCCAAGCAGAGAACCUGCUAAUGCAUGUCCAGACUCCUGACCCGUAUCACUGUCAGCUAAAAAAUGUGUCUUUCUUAAGCUGCAAGAUUCGUGGUGAUUUAUUAAACAGUAGUAGGAAACUAACACAUGGUCUGAGCUUUGAAUGCACUGCCUAUUCCUUGAAGGCAGGAAUGAGGGCUUCUGUAUUCCCAGCCCCACGAGAGUAAUAGAUCCUUUACCUAGUAUCUGCUGAGCGGUCACAGGGACUCUGGAGGUGAGAAGACUGAGCCCUCGAGAAGGGAAAGAUCUUGCCUGAGAUGAUGUGGCAGGUUAAGGACGAGCUGGCGUCCGACCUCAAUGCUUGUCCUCUGUGCCCAUUUAGGCUUUGUGACCUGGGAUGGUCAGCCAGUUCCCUGAGUUUCUGCACAGAUGUCCUGGAGGGAAACCACUAGCCCACGAAGCCAUUUAACACCACAAGCUGUCCCUUGCCAACAAGUGGUGGGACUCACAAAACAAAGAACCUGCUUCUGAGCCACACUCAACACGUGUCAUUCCCAGAUGCCUCCACAUGCAACGUUGCACUCACUCUCCAAAACCCCCAGAUGGCUUACUAUCGGCAGACCUUUUCCUGUCCAAGUGCGUGUUCCUUCCUUUGUUCACUCAUUCUUCAAUCACUCAUAGAUGAUAACAAGUGGCAUGUAUUGAAUUAAGUGUGCCAGCUACUGUUCUCAACACUUUCUAGGCAUUAACUCAUUUCAUCCUAGAAACAACCCCAUGGCAUCUCAUUCAUAGGCUGGACAGGCAUCUCCAAAGUGGCUCAAAGACAGAAUGAGACAAACUCCAUCCCUAGUUGUAGGAGUUGAGGGGGGAAGGACAUGAAGGAAGCUGGGGCGAGGACGGCCUCUGCGAAAGAAGAAGAUGGCCAGGCAAGGUGGGCCGAAGACACACAGGUCAGAUAUAGAAAGACCACAUAGCCCUUUGAAGCCAUUCCCCUUCUGACAGCCAGAGAGAUGUUUUCAAAAACGUAACCUAGAACAUAAAACUUUGUGUAAACUUCUACAGUUAAGUCCUCACAACACUUAGAAUGAAAUCCAAAUAUUUUAUGAGUUUCCAUUAUUUAUAAAUCUUAAUCCAUGCCACUUUCCUCUCAAGCCUCCUGCUUUGCUUCAGCCACACUAGCCUUUGAUCAGGUGUCUGAAUAUGCAAGGCCCUUCCCACCACAGGGCCUUUGCACUUGCUACCGUGUCUGCCUGGAAAACUUCUCUUAGCAACUCACCUGCUUGUCUCCUUUUCUCAUCCUCAGGUCUCUGCAGAAACGUCUCCUCCUUAGCAAGUCUUAACCCCACCACACCACCUAAAGAGGGUCCCUCACUUGACACUGUUAAUAUCACCCUCCAGUCUUUCAAAGCACUUAUCACAGUUAUAAUCAUUUGACUCCAUUAUUUAGUGCUGUUAUACCGCUAGUCUCAUGUUCUCCAUACUGGUCUUCACGUGACAAAUUUAAAACAAUGUAAAGUCCCCACCCAACAAAGAGUCUUAUCAACUGGUUUGCAGUGGAGCCUGACAAUGAAUUUUUUUUUUUAGUUGCCUGCACUCGUGGCGUAUGGAAGUUCCUGGGCCAGGGACUGAAUCCAAGUCACAGC
Molecule: non-coding RNA, 3753 nt
Organism: Sus scrofa (pig)
Lineage: Eukaryota; Metazoa; Chordata; Mammalia; Artiodactyla; Suidae
Source: RefSeq, a predicted model, not a curated record